RNAcentral lists this ribosomal RNA (494 nucleotides) under uncultured bacterium. Its description in RNAcentral is "bacterial SSU rRNA". It matches the Rfam family "Bacterial small subunit ribosomal RNA", at positions 28 to 534 of the family's 1533-position model. The record is from RNAcentral.
GACGAACGCUGGCGGCGUGCUUAACACAUGCAAGUCGAGCGAGACCCUGCCUUCGGGUGGGUGUUCUAGCGGCGAACGGGUGAGUAACACGUGGGCAACCUGCCCCUAGCUCUGGGAUAACUCCGGGAAACCGGGGCUAAUACCGGAUAUGACCAUCGUGGGCAUCUGUGGUGGUGUAAAGGGUUUACUGGCUAGGGAUGGGCCCGCGGCCUAUCAGCUUGUUGGUGGGGUGAUGGCCUACCAAGGCGACGACGGGUAGCCGGCCUGAGAGGGCGACCGGCCACACUGGGACUGAGACACGGCCCAGACUCCUACGGGAGGCAGCAGUGGGGAAUAUUGCGCAAUGGGCGGAAGCCUGACGCAGCGACGCCGCGUGAGGGACGAAGGCCUUCGGGUUGUAAACCUCUUCUAGCAGGGACGAAGCGAGAGUGACGGUACCUGCAGAAGAAGCACGGCUAACGUACGUGCCAGCGACCGCGGUAAUAGUCACGUCG